AGAGUUUGAUCCUGGCUCAGGACGAACGCUGGCGGCGUGCUUAACACAUGCAAGUCGAGCGGUAAGGCCCUUCGGGGUACACGAGCGGCGAACGGGUGAGUAACACGUGGGCAACCUGCCCCGUACUCUGGGAUAAGCCCGGGAAACUGGGUCUAAUACCGGAUAUGACUCUGGGCCGCAUGGCCUGGGGUGGAAAGUUC
RNAcentral lists this ribosomal RNA (200 nucleotides) under uncultured bacterium. RNAcentral describes it as "partial 16S ribosomal RNA". It matches the Rfam family "Bacterial small subunit ribosomal RNA", at positions 8 to 210 of the family's 1533-position model. The record is from RNAcentral.